GACGAACGCUGGCGGCGUGCUUAACACAUGCAAGUCGAACGGAAAGGCCCUGCUUUUGUGGGGUGCUCGAGUGGCGAACGGGUGAGUAACACGUGAGUAACCUGCCCUUGACUUUGGGAUAACUUCAGGAAACUGGGGCUAAUACCGGAUAGGAGCUCCUGCUGCAUGGUGGGGGUUGGAAAGUUUCGGCGGUUGGGGAUGGACUCGCGGCUUAUCAGCUUGUUGGUGGGGUAGUGGCUUACCAAGGCUUUGACGGGUAGCCGGCCUGGGUGGGUGACCGGCCACGUUGGGACUGGGGUACGGCCCAUACUCCUACGGGAGGCAGCAGUGGAGAAUAUUGCACAAUGGGCUGAAGCCUGAUGCAGCAACGCCGCGUGCGGAAUGACGGCCUUCGGGUUGUAAACCGAUUUCGCCUUAGACGAAGCGUGAGUGACGGUAAUGGAUAAAGAAGCACCGGCUAACUACGUG
Molecule: ribosomal RNA, 468 nt
Filed under: uncultured bacterium
Lineage: Bacteria
Description: partial 16S ribosomal RNA
Rfam family: Bacterial small subunit ribosomal RNA
Source: RNAcentral